The sequence is a transfer RNA, 99 nucleotides long. It matches the Rfam family "tRNA". Rfam says of the family: Transfer RNA (tRNA) molecules are approximately 80 nucleotides in length. Their secondary structure includes four short double-helical elements and three loops (D, anti-codon, and T loops).
GCCCGCCUAGCUCAAUCGGUAGAGCGUCAGACUCUUAGGCGGGUUACUGAUUCCCUCGGGAUCAUCUGAAGGCUGCGAGUUCGACCCUCGCGGUGGGCU